AGUGAACGCUGGCGGUAGGCCUAACACAUGCAAGUCGAACGGCAGCACAGUAAGAGCUUGCUCUUACGGGUGGCGAGUGGCGGACGGGUGAGGAAUACAUCGGAAUCUACUUUUUCGUGGGGGAUAACGUAGGGAAACUUACGCUAAUACCGCAUACGACCUACGGGUGAAAGCAGGGGAUCUUCGGACCUUGCGCGAUUGAAUGAGCCGAUGUCGGAUUAGCUAGUUGGCGGGGUAAAGGCCCACCAAGGCGACGAUCCGUAGCUGGUCUGAGAGGAUGAUCAGCCACACUGGAACUGAGACACGGUCCAGACUCCUACGGGAGGCAGCAGUGGGGAAUACUGGGCAAUGGGCGCAAGCCUGAUCCAGCCAUACCGCGUGGGUGAAGAAGGCCUUCGGGUUGUAAAGCCCUUUUGUUGGGAAAGAAAAGCAGCAGGUUAAUACCCCGCUGUUCUGACGGUACCCAAAGAAUAAGCACCGGCUAACUUCGUG
Molecule: ribosomal RNA, 492 nt
Filed under: uncultured bacterium
Lineage: Bacteria
Description: partial 16S ribosomal RNA
Rfam family: Bacterial small subunit ribosomal RNA
Source: RNAcentral